This 396-nucleotide ribosomal RNA is filed under the name uncultured bacterium. Its description in RNAcentral is "partial 16S ribosomal RNA". It matches the Rfam family "Bacterial small subunit ribosomal RNA", at positions 523 to 918 of the family's 1533-position model. The record is from RNAcentral.
AUACGUAGGUGGCAAGGGUUGUCCGGAAUUAUUGGGCGUAAAGCGCAUGUAGGCGGUAAUUUAAGUCUGUCGUGAAACUGCGGGGCUCAGCCCCGUAUGGCGAUGGAAACUGGGUUACUUGAGUGCAGGCGAGGAAAGGGGAACUCCCAGUUUAGCGGUGAAAUGCGUAGAUAUUGGGGAGAACACCGGUGGCGACGGCGCCUUUCGGGAAGGAGAAGGACGCUGGGACGCGAAAGACAGGGCUGCGACCGGGAUGAGAUGCCUGGGUUGCCCUGGCCGUAAACGAUGGGUACUAGGUGUGGGAGGCAUCGACCCCUUCCGUGCCGGAGUUAACGUAAUAAGUAUCCCGCCUGGGGAGUACGGCCGCAAGGCUUAAACUCAAAUGAAUUGACGUGG